RNAcentral lists this long non-coding RNA (7959 nucleotides) under Salmo salar (Atlantic salmon). RNAcentral's name for it is "lncRNA (ENSSSAG00000114534.1)". The record is from RNAcentral. Lineage: Eukaryota; Metazoa; Chordata; Actinopteri; Salmoniformes; Salmonidae.
AGAAGGCCAUGCCAGCCCCUGCAAAGAAAGAACGUGAGGCUCCCAACCAAAAGGCCAAACCAGUAUCUCAUAAGAAAGAACCUGCUCUGAAAGAGAAGGCCAUGCCAGCCCCUGCAAAGAAAGAACGUGAGGCUCCCAACCAAAAGGCCAAACCAGUAUCUCAUAAGAAAGAACCUGAGGGUGUGAAAGAGAUGGACAAACCAGACCCUCUUAAGAAAGAACCUGAAGCUACAAAAAAGAAGGCUAACCCAGCAACUGUAACGAAAGAGCCUGAUGCUCCAAAGGAGAAGGUCAGACCUGUGAAAAAUGCAGAACCUGAAUCUAAGGAAACUAAGGAAACCCCUGCCAGGAAAGGUAUAGUAGCUACUGCAUUGUCAUUCACAUUUCUUUCACUGUAAUAAAAUAAUGGGUUUAUAAUGUAAUCAAUUAUUGCUUUUAUUAAAUACAUAGUAAGGUUUAUUUGAUCUUGUUCACAUUCUCAACUAAAAGCUUAAUUGCAGUAUACAGACUAAAAUUAAAUUAAAAUAAGUAUAUGUCUAGAUUUAGGGAAAUAAAAGGUGAAUUGAAGGGUGCAUCGUUGGUCACUGAGCGGAGAGAGCACUGCGGUAGCUGCUCGGAGAGUGUGUCAGUCAGACAUGGACAAGUCGGGAGCCGCUGGACGUACUGUAUAUUUCACCAUCUCUGACGUCCUGCCCACCUUUCCGUACAGCAAACUCCAAUAACUUUGUGCAGCACCCACUUGGGUGAUGCUACUGCAGCCGGCAGGCGCUGAAAGCUCACCACACUUUAGUUUAAUGAGUAUUUUCCACUUUUACAAGACAGCCACCUGGAUUCUCAGUGCAUCGCGCAGACAGGAAUAAACCUCUCUCUGGGAAGAAGGGCAGGGGUGUAUGUUUCAUGAUUAACGACUCAUGGUGUAAUUGUAACAACAUACAGGAACUCAAGUCCUUUUGUUCACCUGACCUAGAAUUCCUCACAAUAAAAUGCCGACCGCAUUAUCUUCCAAGAGAACGAUCUUCGGUUAUUGUCACAGCCAUGUAUAUCCCCCCUCAAGGCGAUACCACAACGGCACUCAAGGAACUUCACUGGACUUUAUACAAACUGGAAACCAUAUAUCCUGAGUCUGAAUUAAUUGUAGCUGGGGAUUGUAACAAAGCAAAUUUGAGAAAAAAGCUACCUAAAUUCUAUCAGCAUAUCGACUGUAGCACUUGCGCUGAAAAAACUCAGAACUAUUGUUACUCUAACUCCUGCAAUGCAUACAAGGUCCUCCCCCACCCUCCUUUCGGCAAAUCUGACCACGACUCCAUUUUGCUCCUCCCUUCCUAUAGGCAGGAACUCAAACAGGAAGUACCCGUGCUAAGGACUAUUCAAUGGUCUGACCAAUCGGAAUCCACGCUUCAAGAUUGUUUUGAUCACGCAGACUGGGAUAUGUUCCAGGUAGCCUCAGAGAAUAAUAUUGACGUAUACGCUGAUACGCUGGGAGAGUUUAUAAGUGUAUAGGAGCUGUUGUACCCAGUGGGACUAUUAAAACCUACCCUAACCAAAAACCAUAGACAGAUGGCAGCAUUUGCGCAAAAUAAAAGUGCGUACCACCGCAUUUAACCAUGGCAAGGCGACUGGGAAUAUGGCAAAAUACAAACACAGUAGUCAUUCCCUCCGCAAGGCAAUCAAACAAGCUAAAUGUCAAUAUAGAGACAAAGUGGAGUCACAAUUAAAUGGCUCAGACACAAGACGUAUGUAGCAGCAUCUACCUACAAUCACAGACUACAAAAGGAAAACCAGCCAUGCUGUGGACACCGACGUCUUGCUUCCAGACAAACUAAACACCUUCUUUGCCUGUUUCGAGGAUAAUACAGUGCCAUUGACGCAGCCCUCUACCAAGGACUGUGGGCUCUCCUUCUUCAUGGCCAACGUGAGUAAGUCAUUUAAAUGUGUCAACCCUCGCAGGGCUGCCGGCCCAGACGUCAUCCCUAGCCUCGUCCUCAAGCUGGCUGGUGUGUUUAUUCAAUCUCUCCCAUAGCUCAACAUUCAACACUAUAGUACCCACUAAGCUCAUUAUUAAGCUCGAGGCCCUGGGUCUCAACCCCGCCCUGUGGAAUUGGGUCCUGGAUUUCCUGACGGGUCACCCCCAGGUGGUGAAGGUCGGAAACAACAUCUCCACUUCACUGAUCCUCAACACUGGGGCCCCACAAGGGUGCGUGCUCAGCCCCCUCCUGUACUCCCUGUUCUUCCAUGACUGGGUGGCCAUGCACGCCUCCAACUCAAUCAUCAAGUUUGCUGACAACACAACAAUGCUAGGCUUGAUUACCAACAACGAUGAGACAGCCUACAGGGAGGAGGUGAGGGCUCUUGGAGUGUGGUGUCAGGAAAAUAACCUCUCACUCAAUGUCAACAAAACAAAGGAGAUGAUCAUGGACUUCAGGAAACAGCAGAGGGAGCACCCCCCUAUCCACAUCGACGGGACAGAAUGUGGAAAGUUUUACGUUCCUCGGCGUACAUAUCACUGACAAACUGAAAUGGUCCACCCACACAGACAGUGUGGUGAAGACAGCGCAACAGCACGUCUUCAACCUCAGGAAGCUGAAGUAAUUUGGCUUGUCACCAAAAACCCUCACAAACAUUUACAGAUGCACAAUUGAGAGCAUCCUGUCGGGCUGUAUCUCUGCCUGGUACGGCCACUGCACCACCCACAACCACAGGACUCCCCAGAGGGUGGUGCGGUCUGCACAACGCAUCACUGGGGGCAAACUACCUGCCCUCCAGGACACCUACAGCACCCGAUGUCACAGGAAGGCCAAAAAGAUCAUCAAGGGCAACAACCACCCGAGCCAGUGCCUGUUCACCCAGCUACCAUCCACAAGGCGAGGUCAGUACAGGUGCAUCAAAGCUGGGACCGAUAGACUCAAGGCCAUCAGACUGUUAAACAGCCAUCACUAGCACAGAGAGGCUGCUGCCUACAUUCAGACUUGAAAUCAUUGGCCACUUUAAUAAAUGGAACACUAGUUACUUUAAUAAUGCCACUUUAAAAAUGUUUGUAGUUGUAGUGGUAUCACAAGAUAUCAUCACGUGACUCCAACUUUAAUAUGAUGGUUAUUAUAUCAAUAUUUGCGCAUAAAGACGUUUCCACUGCUAUUUCUCACAUAAUUCAUUUUACAUACUCAAAAAGAUCCCACCUUGUCUAACGUAUUUUGUUUUGUCGACAGUUUGCCAACCAAUUUUACCAACAAAUUUGCUGUUUACAUCAGCUCUGUCGUGACAUUUUGUACUUUGUACUUUACUAACAUAAAAAGGUUGGAUGGAAACCUGGUUAAUGGCACAAAAAUGUUUAGAAGAUUUUCAGAAACACAUAACAAUUGUUUUAUUGGUAUCCCUUUCUAAUAUAGAAAAAUCUGUUGAGAAGAAGCCUGCCAAAGAAGAGAAAGCAAAGGCAGAGCCUGUUAUAACAGACCCCUUCGCCACAGAAGAUGAGAUGCCCUACUUCCAGUGCUUUUUUGUGGAUGAAGAUGAGGCCCAGUAUCCCUUCUACCCUUUCUCACCUCUCCAGAUGUGAGAGCCCUGCCCAGUGAAGAGCACAGAGUCUAGAAAGAAAUGGGAUGAGAUGGGCGACACCUUUAGUGUGGAGUUAAUAAUAAAACAUUAAUAAAACCAAGCCAUGGAAUCCACUACUGCCAUGUUGCAGCCUAGCGUCCCGAGCUGGUCUUCAACAGAAACCUAGGACAGCAAAGCACUUUGAGUGAAUUCAUUGAGCUCUCAUGGAUAGCCAACAUCAUUCCUUUCCAAAUGUGUUCGUGUUAUAUUUUGUUUUUGAUAGCUGAUAUGGCAUGAGUUGAUCUAUAUCAGGAUAUCAGUAUUUUGAAUGAAUCAAUGCAUACUGUGUUUACAUCAGUUGCUGCAGGUGAGCCUUUUUUAGGGCCAUGUUAAUUUGCUUGAUUCAAUUCCCGCUUUGAUAGUUGUCAGUUUUCUCAAUUGAAUGGCACAUUUAAACAAACUGCAACACAGAUUGUACCGUUGGCUUUCAUACUUUUCAAAUUCUCAGCGCAGCUCAAGCAAUUAAUCUGUCUGUCGUCACAGUCAGUUGAAUGGGAGCUGCAUAUGGGAGCUGAGCAGUGUUGGUCUAGAAUUUGAGGGAAGAGCUCGGUUGGGCUGGACUACAAACUGCUGCUCUGUUGCUGUGGACUCUGAAUUACGCUUUAUUUACAUGAACAUGGGCUCUAUAUCAUUGCUAAGACAUCAGUGAGUCGUUCCAUCUCAAGAAGCACAAGAAAGAGGAUUUCGACACCCACCAUCUCAGAUUGUACUGAAAUUGUUUCUGUUAGGGAACAGAUAAGAUUAGCGUUCCUGCAACAAUAUUUUGCUGAAAUAUAAUUUGAUCUCUGGGAAAUUAAGCUAAUUGAUUCCACCCAAAUUGGCCAUUUUAUUCAAUUAAUAUAGACCCUAACCUCCAGGUUUGAUUUUUUUUAAAGAAUUCCUCCACCACUUCAUGUUAAAGGGACAGUUCACCUAAAUUAUGAAAUUACUUUUGCUUUCCUUACCUGUAAGCAGUCUUUGAAAAAAUUUAUUCAACAGUCCAUGAGUUGGUUUUGUUGUCCACUGAUUCAAAUGCAAACUUUUUAGCAUUUGUGACACAACUCCGAUGCAAGUCAAUGGUACCUGUAUUAGCAUUUUCAUGCUUCAUGUCCAAAUCAUUCUGAAGUAUCUAAAGCUGUAAUGUUACUAACAGAUGAUUUAGAUAUGAAGCUUGGAAAUGCUAAUAUAGGUACCAUUGACUUGCGUUGGAUUUGUGCCACAAAUGCUAAAAAGUUAGAAUUUCAAACACCGGCCAGAUAAACAAAACCGAAACAUGGGUUGCUGUCAUACCUUGUCCCUAAACUCUUUACAGGGUAAGGAAACCAAUAUGUAAUUUGGGUGAACAAUCCCUUUAACAAUGAGGGGGGAUUCUGAAAAAAAUAACUACAAGUAGGAACAGCACCAUCUAGUGGUCAGAACAUUGUAAUAUGAAGAUGUAGGAUGGGACAUUAACUAACUUAAAUUAUUAAUUUCUCUGAACAGGAAGAAAAAAACCACCAAAUUCACUGAGAAUACAUUACAUAGGAUGAAGAAACAAUACUCUGAGUCACAGCUCCAUACUAUUCGUCAGACAUAGAGAACUAAUACUGUAUACUCUUUAUUAGUGUGUGUGUGGUGUCUGUGGGUGGCUUUUGAUUCUUUCGAUUCCUCAUGUCUUACUCGUUGAUAGAAAAAAGUUUGGUCCAAAUCGGAUCUUAGGUAGUAUAAUUAUUGAAUAUUAUAUGAAUCAUAUAAUUUUCUUCUAUUCUUCUUCAUCAGUCUGCGUUUGUUAACUUUGAGGAAGCAUAAAGCUUUUCAUCAAAUUUGUAGGGACAUACUCACAUUAAAAGAAAUUCUGCUGGUGCCUCGAAGUCUGUGAAGUUGUUUCUGUAUUGUAUGUACUAUAUGUCUGGAAAGGAAUAACCAUAUCCUAUAUGUCCAUGAGAGCUCCCAGGUCCCAGAUUCUGAUCAACUAGAUAAAACACCCUCUGGCUGCACCACAGGUGACAAGUGGCAGAUUCAGUCAUGGUGUUCUGAAGUCUUAUCAACCAUCUAUACUUCUACAAAAUGCUCCUCGUUUUGAUAAGGGUGCUGAUUCUAAGCAUUCCAUUGUCUGAUCUUUCAGAAUGAGGUUGAAGAAUAAUUUUUAAUGGGUAACACGUCAGUUGGAAUGCACUUGUUGCAAUCAGGUGUCUUUGAAAUAUUUCAUUUUGUGUGAUAAUCCAUUUUGAACUCAUUUAAAGUUGGUGUUGUCCAUUUGUAUCAACAUAAGUUAGACAUAAUUUCUUGCACUGGAUUACACCAUCAAGGACCUUAAACUAACUGGAACAUGAGAGGAGAAUACAUAUAUUAAUGAUCAAAAUCAAUGUUUGUAUCUCGUAUCUAUUUAUUGAUAGACCAAAAGGAACAGCUGCAUAGCUCAUGAGUGUCACAGAGUAGUGUCCUUUUGGUAGGGUUUACACAACUGGCAAACUGGUUGAAAUAAGGUGUGGGAAAAAUAAACAAGUCCAGUUUACCAUUAUGUUAUGCGUAUAGUGACUUAUGAAUCACAUAUAAUCAAGUAAUAUAGUAAUAUAAACAAUAUAUUAUGAUAUUUAUAUAAUUAUAAUAUUAUCAACAAUAGUGGUAAUAAUAAUGCAUGUAUGACACUUGUAUUUAUUUUUGUGCUAUGUUAUGAACAGAUGUAUAACAUUUCAGAUUGAUUACUUUAUCAUCUCUGAAAGACAAGUUGGGAUAGCAGUCAACACAUAAACCUACUUCUACUUAAGUUAAAUUGCGUCUUGGCUAAUUUUAUGUUUUUAAUUAAAGUGACAACUUGAAUUUUGACAGUGAAGUACAUGUGUAGCCAAAUAUUGAUACUGUUCCAUCUUUUAGUUUUGGUACCUCUGCACAAAACAUGUAUUUGUUGCAGAAGAAUGUGAUACUUUGCUACAUGAAAUGCCUUUAAAUUCUCAUUUAGCCUGUACAAAAUGUUGAUAACACGUAUAUUUUUGUGGAGAGCAAAAGAUAAGACUGAUUGUGAAAUAGUGCAUUUAUGCUGAUUCCACUAAACAUGUUAAUGCUCCUAAUCUUUGUGUUAAAUGUUUUGACUGAACAGACUCCCAAAUGUAAUUUUUACUAGCAAAUACUACCUUAUUUGCUAUUCAAGGGCAUAUGAUUUUAUCUGUUCACUACCAAAGUAGUUAAUUAAUACAAUAUUUGCCACAAUACAUUUUGUAGCUAGCAUAGACUGCAAUGGUAGUGUUACUGGAGAAUACAAUUAGUAGAAUACAUAAUGGUGUCAUCUUGACAGUUAGGUUCUGUACUAUUAUUAGUAGUAACCAUUGUAAGCUUAUAACAUGUGCGGCCAUACAGAGACAGGAUGGUACUCUGAUGGCCCACCAACCUUUUUGAAGCAUUGUGCAUGAAGUAUUUUAAAUGUUCUCUGCUUUCAAGUGUUCAUUGUCUGGUGUUUAACAACAAUAUAUUGAUCUGCUGGAGCAUCAAUAUGACAGUGCCAGAUCUAUUUCAAUUGGAAUUAUGUGUAUGGCAUCAAUAAUUCAUUGUAAGUUGUAUUUGAGCUGACUGGUUCAGGAAUGUACAUUGUGUAAGGAAAUAAUAAGGCCACUGAUGCAAGGGAUAACGGGACAGAUUUGAUCAUAUCAAAUGCUGAAAAUGAUCUUAAACCUGAAUAGUUUGACGACAGAUUAACAAAUGUAUGUAUUGUCCUAUGCUUAACCUAACUAAUGCAACUUGUCAUACAUAUUGGAUUAGUAAACGUAACAGUUUAUGUGUGGUAUUCUUUCCUUUUCACCUUGUUCCUUGUGUGUUGAUGCCAGUAGUUAGCCUAGUGGUUAGAGCGUUGGGCCAGUAACCGGAAGGUCGUUCUGCCCCUGAGCAAAGGCGCCGAAGAUGUGGAUGUCGAUUUAGGCAGCCCCUCUCUGAUUCAGAGGGGUUGGGUUAAAUGCGAAAGACACAUUUCAGUUGAAUACAUUCAGUUGGACAACUGACUAGGUAUCCCUCUUUCCCUUUCCAGGUAGGCUAUUGAACCGUCCACAGUAUUUGACUUGUAAUACACACAUAUGAUCAGAUGAUGGCAUUAUAGAGUGGUCUAUUUUCUAACAUUUCAAAUAAACGUUUUUAUACUACACAUCUGUAUGCCUUUAAUAACAAAAUGAACCCAGAUCAUGAACUCUGGGAAAGACAAUUAGGUCAUUCAAUUAUUGAAUGUUGCUAUGUUCAGGGGUCAAGUGUGGUGGAAUAUUGAAAUGGUGUGAAAAAGAAUGAGAUGUUCAUCACUAUCAGUUAUAUUAAUAAUCUUGGAUGUAAUGUUGAUAGCAGUUCCCAUGCUUGUGAAAUGCCAGUGUCUUGAUUUUGUAAUAUGUCAGGUUUUACAACUCAUAAUAAAUUGUGUUGAUAUUGCCCAAGAUAUCU